RNAcentral lists this unclassified non-coding RNA (631 nucleotides) under Hevea brasiliensis (rubber tree). The record is from RNAcentral. Lineage: Eukaryota; Viridiplantae; Streptophyta; Magnoliopsida; Malpighiales; Euphorbiaceae.
CACCCUUAUCAUUGGACUCAGGGCCCUUCUUUAAACCUGUAAUUUGCACAAGCAUAUGAGAGUUUUUCUGAAGGUAGUCAUUUGGGUCAGACUUGACUCUUACAAAGCUUCCUACAAUUUUUCCUUCCAAUGUUUCUGGUUCCUUGAGAAGAUCCUGAACUAAACUCCUUUUCAAAUGGACAAGUUUAAUAUUAUCAGGAAUUAUGGCCGCAAAACAGCUUUUUGGAGCUUCCAAAACCUUCUUUUUAAUAUAUGUUUUUCUUUCUGAAGUUAAAUUCUUCUGUUGCUGACAGGCAGAAUCCUCUUCUUCUGAACUAUAAAGAAAAUCAUCAUCUGAAUCGGCUUGGUUUUCAGCAAAGUGCGUUCCCAGCAUUUCAUAGAUUUUGUUUCGGGCAAUGGUUUUCCUUCCAAAAAGAGAAAGGAGCCACUCAUCACAAAGAAUCCUCUUCUUUUUUGCUGGGUGAUGAAGGUUAUGAUCAUUUACAUAUUUAUUUAUAAUGGCAGUAACAUCAUAUUGAGAAAUCUGUUUACUGGUAUCUUUACCAAUUGAUUCAAGAAACUCAAUAAGUGGCCUUGAUCCCCACCCAACAAACUCCAGUUUCCUUGUUCUAGCUUUUCUUUUCAUACCUAC